UACGAAGGGGGCUAGCGUUGUUCGGAACUACUGGGCGUAAAGGGCUCGUAGGUGGUCAACUAAGUCGGACGUGAAAUCCCUCGGCUUAACCGGGGAACUGCGUCCGAUACUGGAUGACUUGAGUUCGGGAGAGGGAUGCGGAAUUCCAGGUGUAGCGGUGAAAUGCGUAGAUAUCUGGAGGAACACCGGUGGCGAAGGCGGCAUCCUGGACCGACACUGACGCUGAGGAGCGAAAGCCAGGGGAGCGAACGGG
RNAcentral lists this ribosomal RNA (253 nucleotides) under uncultured bacterium. RNAcentral describes it as "partial 16S ribosomal RNA". It matches the Rfam family "Bacterial small subunit ribosomal RNA", at positions 524 to 776 of the family's 1533-position model. The record is from RNAcentral.